Molecule: microRNA, 22 nt
Filed under: Scyliorhinus torazame (cloudy catshark)
Lineage: Eukaryota; Metazoa; Chordata; Chondrichthyes; Carcharhiniformes; Scyliorhinidae
Description: Sto-Mir-150_3p* (star (passenger))
Source: RNAcentral
CUGGGACAAGGGCUGGAUGAGA